AGUGAACGCUGGCGGUAGGCCUAACACAUGCAAGUCGAACGGCAGCACAGUAAGAGCUUGCUCUUACGGGUGGCGAGUGGCGGACGGGUGAGGAAUACAUCGGAAUCUACUUUUUCGUGGGGGAUAACGUAGGGAAACUUACGCUAAUACCGCAUACAACCUACGGGUGAAAGCAGGGGAUCUUCGGACCUUGCGCGAUUGAAUGAGCCGAUGUCGGAUUAGCUAGUUGGCGGGGUAAAGGCCCACCAAGGCGACGAUCCGUAGCUGGUCUGAGAGGAUGAUCAGCCACACUGGAACUGAGACACGGUCCAGACUCCUACGGGAGGCAGCAGUGGGGAAUAUUGGACAAUGGGCGCAAGCCUGAUCCAGCCAUACCGCGUGGGUGAAGAAGGCCUUCGGGUUGUAAAGCCCUUUUGUUGGGAAAGAAAAGCAGCAGGUUAAUACCCCGCUGUUCUGACGGUACCCAAAGAAUGAGCACCGGCUAACUUCGUG
Molecule: ribosomal RNA, 492 nt
Filed under: uncultured bacterium
Lineage: Bacteria
Description: partial 16S ribosomal RNA
Rfam family: Bacterial small subunit ribosomal RNA
Source: RNAcentral